AACGCACGAGACCUGCGGACCUGCGGAAGGAUCAUUACCGAGUUAGGGUCUUUUGGCCCGACCUCCAACCCUUUGUUUAUUAUACCAUGUUGCUUUGGUGGGCCUGCCUUUCGGGGCUGCCGGGGGCAUCACUGCCCCUGACUCGUGCCUGCCAGGAGCCUUCUUAAAUUCAGUGUUCAACGGUGCUGUCUGAGUCCCAGUAUCAAAAUAUCAAAAACUUUCAACAACGGAUCUCUAGAU
Molecule: unclassified non-coding RNA, 240 nt
Filed under: soil metagenome
Description: partial contains 5.8S ribosomal RNA, internal transcribed spacer 2, and large subunit ribosomal RNA
Source: RNAcentral